RNAcentral lists this ribosomal RNA (414 nucleotides) under uncultured bacterium. RNAcentral's name for it is "bacterial SSU rRNA". It matches the Rfam family "Bacterial small subunit ribosomal RNA", at positions 355 to 786 of the family's 1533-position model. The record is from RNAcentral.
UAGGGAAUAUUGCACAAUGGGGGAAACCCUGAUGCAGCGACGCCGCGUGAAGGAAGAAGUAUCUCGGUAUGUAAACUUCUAUCAGCAGGGAAGACAAUGACGGUACCUGACUAAGAAGCCCCGGCUAAUUACGUGCCAGCAGCCGCGGUAAUACGUAAGGGGCAAGCGUUAUCCGGAUUUACUGGGUGUAAAGGGAGCGUAGACGGAAUGGCAAGUCUGAUGUGAAAGGCAGGGGCUUAACCCCUGGACUGCAUUGGAAACUGUCAGUCUAGAGUGCCGGAGAGGUAAGCGGAAUUCCUAGUGUAGCGGUGAAAUGCGUAGAUAUUAGGAGGAACACCAGUGGCGAAGGCGACCUGCUGGGCUUUAACUGACGCUGAGGCACGAAAGCAUGGGGAGCAAACAGGAUUAGAUACC